RNAcentral lists this long non-coding RNA (1078 nucleotides) under Astyanax mexicanus (Mexican tetra). RNAcentral describes it as "lncRNA (ENSAMXG00005003054.1)". The record is from RNAcentral. Lineage: Eukaryota; Metazoa; Chordata; Actinopteri; Characiformes; Acestrorhamphidae.
AACUAAGAGAAGAGAACCCAAAAGGUGUGCUCCAAGAUGAUAUGGGGAAAUUUGUGAAAGUGUUGGCUGAGGCUAUUUCAGCAAAUAGGCUACCCAUUCCAGAGCCUACAAUCUUUAGUGGGGAUCCACUAAAGUUUAAUCAUUGGAAGACAUCCUUUCAGGCCCUAAUUGAGAGGAAAAAUAUUCCAACCACAGAGAAAAUCUUCUUUCUUCAGAAAUAUGUUGGAGGCUCAGCUAGAGAGGCCUUAGAAGGUCAUUUUCUGAUUGGUUCAGAAAAUUCAUAUGAUACAGCAUGGGACCUGCUAAACGAAAGAUAUGGCCAGCCUUUUGUAAUUGCCAAAGCAUUCCGAGACAAAUUACAUGCAUGGCCAAAAUUAGCCCCUAGGGAUAGCACAGAGUUAAGAAAGUUUGUAGACUUUCUACAUAGUUGUGAAUGUGCCAUGAAUCACAAUGAGAGUCUUCAUGUUCUUAAUGAUGGAAUUGAGAAUCAAAGCCUUACCGCCAAGUUACCUGACUGGUUAAGUUCCAGAUGGAAUCGAAAGGCCACCCAAUACCAACUGGAACAUGAGAAGUUUCCAAACUUUAGUUAUUUUGUGACAUUCCUAUCAACAGAGGCAAGUAUAGCUUGCAACCCUAUAACAUCUUAUCACGCGUUACGACGAAGUGAAAUUGAUAAAGCAAAGCCCAAGAACCAAAGCGUGUACUUCAAGAGCCAAACUGUAGGUGCCAAGACCUUUACAACCACCUCCAGUGAAAAGAACAUUACCUCAUGUGUGUUCUGUAAGAAAUUAGGACAUAGUAUACCCAAAUGUCACAAAUUCAAUGAAAAGCCAGUUGCUGACAGAGUCAAUUAUAUUUACGGUGAGAGACUGUGCUUCGGCUGUUUAAGCCCUGGACAUCAAUCCAAGAGCUGCAGUAACCGGAUGGUCUGUGACUCCUGUUCAAAAAGACACCCCACAUGUCUACAUGAAGACCGUUCAAAACAAGAAAAAGAACCAAACAGAGAUCAUUGUAAGGAAACACGUUACAGUAAAGAAAGAAAGUCACACCCGAAACAAGUACAAGACAUCGUCAAGGA